This 467-nucleotide ribosomal RNA is filed under the name uncultured bacterium. Its description in RNAcentral is "partial 16S ribosomal RNA". It matches the Rfam family "Bacterial small subunit ribosomal RNA", at positions 28 to 507 of the family's 1533-position model. The record is from RNAcentral.
GACGAACGCUGGCGGCGUGCUUAACACAUGCAAGUCGAACGGAAAGGCCUCUUUCGGGGGGUACUCGAGUGGCGAACGGGUGAGUAACACGUGAGUAACCUGCCCUUGACUUUGGGAUAACUUCAGGAAACUGGGGCUAAUACCGGAUAGGAGCUCCUGCUGCAUGGUGGGGGUUGGAAAGUUUCGGCGGUUGGGGAUGGACUCGCGGCUUAUCAGCUUGUUGGUGGGGUAGUGGCUUACCAAGGCUUUGACGGGUAGCCGGCCUGAGAGGGUGACCGGCCACAUUGGGACUGGGAUACGGCCCAGACGCCUACGGGAGGCAGCAGGGGGGAAUAUUGCACAAGGGGUGGAAGCCUGAUGCAGCAACGCCGUGUGCGGGAGGACGGCCUUCGGGUUGGAAACCGCUUUCGCUCAUGACGAAGCUUUGUGUGACGGUAGUGGGUAAAGAAGCACCGGCUAACUACGUG